AUGAAAGUGUAGCAUGCCCAUUGUGGAAAUACUCUGAUGAAUAUUUGUUAUUUAAAUGCUUUUGGGUAGCGGGUGUUACAAUUUG
This 85-nucleotide microRNA precursor is filed under the name Medicago truncatula (barrel medic). RNAcentral's name for it is "MIR2617 microRNA precursor family". It matches the Rfam family "MIR2617 microRNA precursor family". The record is from Rfam by way of RNAcentral. Lineage: Eukaryota; Viridiplantae; Streptophyta; Magnoliopsida; Fabales; Fabaceae.